GAAAUGCGAUACUUGGUGUGAAUUGCAGAAUUCAGUGAAUCAUCGAAUUUUUGAACGCACAUUGCGCCCCUUGGUAUUCCAUGGGGCAUGCUUGUUCGAGCGUCAUUUGUACUCUCAAGCCUUGCUUGGUGUUGGGUGUUUGUCCUUUCCACUGCGAUUGGACUCGCCUUAAAUUCAUUGGCAGCCAAUGUAUUGGUUUUGAAGCGCAGCACAAUUUGCGAUUCAAACUAGUGACUGUUGGCGUCCAUUAAGCAUAUUUUAACACUUUUGACCUCGGAUCAAGUAGGGAUACCCGCUGAACUUAA
RNAcentral lists this unclassified non-coding RNA (305 nucleotides) under uncultured Ascomycota. RNAcentral describes it as "sequence contains ITS1". The stretch from base 1 to 105 matches the Rfam family "5.8S ribosomal RNA", at positions 50 to 154 of the family's 154-position model. Lineage: Eukaryota; Fungi; Ascomycota. The record is from RNAcentral.